CUAGCCGUAAACGAUACUCGCUAGGUGUCGGCCACGGUGCGACCGUUGUCGGUGCCGUAGGGAAGCCGUGAAGCGAGCCACCUGGGAAGUACGGCCGCAAGGCUGAAACUUAAAGGAAUU
This 120-nucleotide ribosomal RNA is filed under the name uncultured bacterium. Its description in RNAcentral is "partial 16S ribosomal RNA". It matches the Rfam family "Archaeal small subunit ribosomal RNA", at positions 747 to 866 of the family's 1478-position model. The record is from RNAcentral.